Lucilia cuprina (Australian sheep blowfly) is the source of this 81-nucleotide small nucleolar RNA. Lineage: Eukaryota; Metazoa; Arthropoda; Insecta; Diptera; Calliphoridae. The record is from Rfam.
UUUACAUGAUGACCAAUUUGUCUAGUUCUGCUACUGACUAUACCAAUUUAUGAGGAUAACCAAAUACCAAUCCACUGAAAU